This 498-nucleotide ribosomal RNA is filed under the name uncultured bacterium. Its description in RNAcentral is "partial 16S ribosomal RNA". It matches the Rfam family "Bacterial small subunit ribosomal RNA", at positions 28 to 507 of the family's 1533-position model. The record is from RNAcentral.
GACGAACGCUGGCGGCGUGCCUAAUACAUGCAAGUCGUGCGGACCUUUUAAAAGCUUGCUUUUAAAAGGUUAGCGGCGGACGGGUGAGUAACACGUGGUCAACCUGCCUGUAAGACUGGGAUAACGCCGGGAAACCGGGGCUAAUACCGGAUCGUUUUUCCUCCGCAUGGAGGAAAAAGUAAAGUCGGCUUCUGCUGCCACUUACAGAUGGGCCCGCGGCGCAUUAGCUAGUUGGCGGGGUAACGGCCCACCAAGGCAACGAUGCGUAGCCGACCUGAGAGGGUGCUAGGCAAAACUGGGACUGAGACACGGCCCAAACCCCUACGGGAGGCGGCAGUAGGGAACCUUCCGCAAUGGAAGAAAGUCUGACGGAGCAACGCCGCGCGAGUGCAGAAGGCAGUCGGGUCGUAAAACUCUGUUGCCGGGGAAGAACAAGUGCCGUUCGAACAGGGCGGCGCAUUGACGGUACCCGGACAGAAAGCCACGGCUAACUACGUG